AAUCAACGCUGGCGGCGUGCCUCAGACAUGCAAGUCGAACGAUUAAACUUUCCUUCGGGGAAGAUAUAGAGUGGCGCACGGGUGAGUAACACGUAAGUAAUCUACCCUUGGGUGGGGAAUAACAUCGGGAAACCGAUGCUAAUACCGCAUAAUGCAGCGGCUUCUUAUGAAGACAGUUGUUGAAGCAUUUAUGUGCCUGAGGAGGAGCUUGCGGCAGAUUAGCUAGUUGGUAAGGUAAUGGCUUACCAAGGCGACGAUCUGUAGCCGACCUGAGAGGGUGGUCGGUCACACUGACACUGAAUAACGGGUCAGACUCCUACGGGAGGCAGCAGUCGGGAAUUUUGGGCAAUGGGCGCAAGCCUGACCCAGCAACGCCGCGUGAAGGAUGAAGUAUUUCGGUAUGUAAACUUCGUAAAAAUAGGAAGAAUAAAUGACGGUACUAUUUGUAAGGUCCGGCUAACUACGUGCCAGCAGCCGCGGU
Molecule: ribosomal RNA, 481 nt
Filed under: uncultured bacterium
Lineage: Bacteria
Description: bacterial SSU rRNA
Rfam family: Bacterial small subunit ribosomal RNA
Source: RNAcentral